UUCUGGAGGUGGACAGUGGAGGGGAGCAGCCUCAGCACUAGGCCUGGCUCUCAGAGGCCAGACCCAGGGCCACUGAGAGCCAGGCCCAGUUCCAGCACACUGAAGCGGGGGAAGCAGAGACGCUCCUGCCCUGGGACUGAGGCCCGCAGAGCAGGACGUGAGCACCAAGAGAAUGCAGAUUUUGUCUCUUUGCUGAUAAACCCUCGGUUCUAGACCACUGCCAGGCACAUAGAUGGCGCUCACCAGUGAUUUAUCAAAUGCACGUGCCACCCAGAGGAGGUAGAGGUGCGGUCCCCGCCCACUGCACACCUGGAUCUCGGUGUUGCCCCCAUCCAGCAGGCGGAUGGCCAGACCAAUGCUCUCCUGGAAGAUCUUCUCAUUCUUGGUGCUGGUGAUGAGGUCACACACUAGCUUGGUGGCCCCCUCCUUGUCCAGCCGGCACUGGGUGGCAGCGAUUGCUGACCAGUCUUGGUCCAGGCCUGGGGUGGGGACUCACUUGAAGGAAAGCUGGUGGGCAGGGAUGGGGGGGGGGCCCAGGACUGGGAGAACAGGCCACCCAGAGACACAGGAGGAGAAGGCAGCACUGACCAGUGCCCAUGGGGUCCGGAAGGUCCCCCCGAGAGCUGGACUUCCGGUUCUGGAGGUAGUUUUGUAGCAGCAUCUUGCGUAGCUGGUUGCCCUGGGGGAGGACGGGAGUGAGGUUGCCCGAGGGUCCUCCCGCACCCCUGCACCCUGGGCCUGGCCUGCCGGUGUCCAGCCCCCCUGGUGUGCCCCAGCCCGGCACUCACCCGGUCCCCAUACUUGCUCUUCUUGAGCAGCAUCUGCUGCAGGGUCCGAAGCACCUUGAUGCACAGCUUCUCCUCGGGCUCCAUGAGGUCCUUCGUGUGCUGGAUCAGCCUGGACCAGUGAGGGCGGCUCAGGGGGCCUCCUUCCCUCCAGCCACCUCCCCAACCAGGGCCCAUCCGGUCCCCACCAGACCCUCCCCUGGCCCAGGCCACCAUGCCACGGUGUCCCAGAGUCCCACUCACUUGGACAGGAAGCCCCCGCUCUCACAGCGCUGAUAGGCCUCGCUGCCCUCCAGGAAGAGCAGCUCCGGCCAGUGUAGGACGUCGACCAGCACAGACAGCUCUGCCUGCACCAGCGGCUUCAGCCUCUCCUCCAGGGCCGUGAUGAUGUCCUGGAAGAGCCAGGCUGAGUCACCGUCGCCCAAGAGAGGGUCAGGGCCUGACCACCACUCCCCCACCCAAACACCAAACAGCCCUGCAGAUGGACCUGCGCCUGUCGGAGGGCCCUGCACCCCCAGAUUCCCUGAGCGCCUGGCUGAGAUCCCCAAGACCCGGCUUAUCUCCUUCUAGUUCUGUGUGGCCUUGCAUCAACUCCUUGCCCUCUCUGAGCCUCAGUCUCCCUCCAUGUGGAAACAAUAGCCCCCCCACCCCACUCCCCGUGCUCCCUCCGAAGACAAUAAGAGAGAACUGUGGACACACAGGAAGGUGCUGUCAAGAGGUGGUCCCGACCCUCCAGGAGCUCUGGCCCCACCCACUCGUCUCUGGGCUCUGCUGACACCUCAGUCCCUGGCCACAGGAUGCGGCCCUUCAUAGAAGGCCAGGCACCCACUCCCACCUGCAGCUUCUCGAUGAUGUUCUUGUAGUCCCACUGGUUGGCGGUGGGGGUGACCCGAGGGAAGGCCCGAGUGGCCGACUUGUAGUUGGAGGCGUUCCGCUGGGCGGCGGCGGCACAGCUGGCUCCGCUGCUGAGCAGGGAGCUGAUGUGGGCGUCCAGGUCCAUGGGCAGCAAGAUGGCCCGGCCCUUAGCUGAGGGAGGGGAGGGGCUGGAGGCCAGGCUCGGGCUGCCAGAGGCUGCCACAUGGUGGGACAGGACAAACCAGACCAAGGUGCGAGGAUCCCGCCCUGGCUCCCACCGGAGUGUCUCUGAUUCUGCCCACUACUGCCUCUUCUCCACCUAUUCCUAACCACAGACUGGCUCCCUCUGCCUGAGAUUGUUUGCACAUGUGCACACACACAACUCGAGUUGGGGAAUGUUACUGCGCUGUUCCUCUGGGGAGCUGACUCAAGGAGAAAACAGCUUCUCUUAAUUGCUGGGAUGCCAGGACAGCCCCGUCCACUGGCGCUAAGAGGCUCACCUGCAGCGAGGUGCUGUUCUCCGAGAACGGGGAGCUGAAGAAGGCGUUGAUGGUAUCCAGCACCACGGUCAGCACGUACUUCUCCAGGGUGGGGUCUGCCAGGCGCUUCUCACGCUUGCUGCAGACCUGGGGGAGGAGAGAGGGAUCCCAGUGGUCCUCACGGGGGUCCCUCCACUCCAUGGUGGGAGGCUGCCCCUGCCCCCUGGCCCCCACACACCCGCGCCAUGUCCAGGGUGAAGCUCUCAAAGAGUGUCCAGAUGUGGUUGCUGGUGUAGAUCUCCUUCAUCUCCACCUCCGUGUCCACGUAGCAGUGGUUCACGAAGUUCACGUAGGCCAUCUUCACCUGGGCAGUGAGCGGGGAGGGGUCAGGAGCGAGCGGGGCCGGGCCCAGGUCCUCCGGCCUGUGCGAUGCCCGCUCCACCCCUGGCCUCGCGGUGGCUGUCUACCUCGCCCCUUCCUCCCCACCUCGGUGAUGCAGUCCUCAUGGGUCACCACGGACACCACGUCCUCCAGCGGCAGCAGGGAGGUGCACUUGAUCUCAGUGUAGACGUUCUUGCCCUCGGCGCAGGCGGCCAGCAAGUCCACCAGGGAGAUGUGGUACAUGAGGGGGCUGUGGUCCUCCACGCCAUCUCGGGCAGCCUUCAUCAUGUCCAGCAGGUGGGCCAGUGAGGCCUUGUCAUUGUAGAACACGACCACGUCGUCGCCUGCAUUCGUCAGCUGUGGGUGGGAGGUGGGUGGGCAUCAGACCCCUCAGUCCAGCAGGCCCUGGCCCUGCCCCGCUCUGCGCUUUCCAGGGAGAGCCGGGGACCCAGACCCAGCAUUUGCCCAGCACCAGGAAAACCCUCCCCUGCCUGCGUUCUGGAAGCUCUGACUGUCAGCUCAGGCCCUCGGUCAUCAGAAACACUCACCAGGACCGGAAAGCCCCCUCCCCACUGUGGGAAAGAUGCCCCACCCACGCUGGUCUCAGAGACCACCCCUCUACUCUCACCCUUGGCUGACCCCUCCCUCCCCUGGGCUCCCACAGCGGGUAAUCAAAACCCUCACAGAGCACACACUGUGUCCCUCUGUGGCAGCAAUUAUGUGAAAUAAUAAUGGCAAUUAGCAGUUAGCACUGCAAACACUUCCAGCCCCCCAGCCUCAUUUCUGACAUCCCUGCUCUUGCUGCGGUGACUCCCUUUUUCCCCCGUCCCACACUGCAAGAUGCUCGAGGGCAGAGACCACGGCUGUCCCAGGUGUAGACUCAGCCCCGCAGGCUGCAUGCCUUCAGUGUUGAGUACCCACUGUGCAUCAAACGCCUGAGUUCUACCAGACCCGCAGCCUUAGUUCUCCCUCCAGCGCCUCCCAACUCUGCAGCCCGCCACCCCAUUUCCCGGCACCUCCCCGCACCCGCCCUCACCUCGGUCAUGAUCAUGUCCUGGCACUUCUUGACGUACUUGCCCUCGGCCUUGAUGACGGUGUGCAGGAAGUCUAGGUACUGCACGUGGCGCCCGUGGGUGGCCAGCAGGUGCACGAAGUGCUGCAGCACGGGCUCGCUGAUCUCGGAGCACAGCUGGGUUGUUUUGAACAUGCCAGAAAAGCUGGAAGAUAUCUAUCUGGAGGGCCAGGAGGGCGGAGGCGGAAGAGCCAACCAGCUGAAGCCUCGGGGCACAGAGGUCUGCAGAGCCCAGAUCCUCAGGGACCCUCUGCCACUCACGCCCUUGACGAUCUGAUAGUUCUCACUGCUCUUCUCCCCUGGUGGAUGCAGAAAGCCCUCCUCGUCUGUGGGCCGCUGGGGACACAGACAGGAUCGGGGUCAGCCAGGCCCGGCUCUCCCUGGCUCCCCGCCCCAGCUUCCCGCCACCAGGCUCACCUCCUUCUUGUCCUUGGCGGUGCCUGCCUCCCCCUCCUCGCCCUUGCCACUGCCUUUCUUGUCCACCCACAGCUCCGAUUUCUCCACCAUCGUCCGCAGCCGAUCCAGCUCUGAUUUGAUCACCUUGUAGUUCUCCACGUCCUGGGCCGAGAUCAGCAGCUGCACCUGAAGGUGGGGGAUGGUCUUGGCUGGUGGAUGGGCACCUCCAGGUCCACCUGGAGAACCCCAGGGCCUUCCCUCGUGUCACCCACCUAGUGAUGCCUCUCCCAGUGCCACCCACCACCACCUGGUCUUCUCCAUCAAGCCAAAUCCUACUCCCGUUUGCCACCCUGCCAAAGCCCACCACCUCCAGGAAGCCUUCUCUGGAGCCAAGGGCACUCUGCCUGCACUGGCACAUCACCUGGCUUCAGCUGCUCUGACUCAUGUCACUAUUACUGUGGCCUAUCAUUAGCUCACCAGACCUUCCACGGGCAGGGCAAAGUGUAUACGUAUCGAUGAUCACUGGCUGAAAGAGGGGGGCCUGCGUCUAACUCCCGCCCCUCUCACUCUGGGCCAGGAGGCCAGGAUGAAAGACUCCCUGAGCCUGGACUUCCACCCCCCUCGAAAAAAGGGAUGACAGUGGUGCCAUACUAUUAGGCUACUGUGAGAAUUCCAGGACAUAAUGAGACGUCAAGUGAGCACUUGUCAACCACCAACCCCACCUGGCACAGGUAUCUCACAGGGAGCUGUCAAGGGGCCGUGACGUCAGUCACAAACACCAGGCACUUGGCUAGGGCUGCCUGCGAGCCAGGCAGGGUUCAGAGCAUCAGCACUGAUGUGCGUAAUAGAGUUGGCACACAAUAGAGUUUGCACACUGUCAAGCGCUGCCCACAGCAUAAGAAGGGGCAGACACUGAGCCAGGCCGGGAGGGACAAAGGUGGCCACAACUCGGUCUUUGUGUUGAAGGAGCUCAGCAAGGCUGGAAACCCAAAUGUGCACCCCAAGUUCCCCUGAGCUGUGAGCUCCUUAAUCACUGAACCCCCAGUUGCCCAGGUCGGCCCAGGGCACAGUUCAGGCAGCACCAGGGGAUCCUCCCUCACCUGCUUGAAGGUGUGCAUGGCCUCCUGUCGCUGGCUGAAGUGCUUGAAGAGCAGCUGGAGGGCUCCCGAGACCAACGGUGCGUAGUCGUGCAUGGUCAGGUGGAUGAGCACACGCAGGAACAUGCGGCCACCCUCGUCGUCCACCUCCAGCAUACUGCUGGUCUUCCUGCGGACACCAGGGUGCCGGGGCGUCAGUGUGCCGGCACACACCUGCCUCCCGAGGGACCCAGGCCUGGCACAAGCACGCUCUCUACCCCCAUUCAGCAGAGGCAGCACCCAGUGUGACAUUUGUUCAAGAUACUGAUGUUUUUCCCACCUGUGUGCAAACAGCCCCGGGCCUGACCCUCGAGGGAUCUGUGUCCCCUGGGCUCCCUCAGGCCCUCCCUGGAUUAAGCAGGGAACCCUUCUAAUGGGACCCACAGACCUCACCACCCCACCUAGGAGGACUUAGAUGGAACAGAAGUGGGAAAAGUGAUUUUUAUCAAUCUCUAACCAAAAUGGAACACUUCCUUCCAUGAGGAAAUACUAGCCGUAUUUCGUGAGUUUGUCACCAAUGAAAAUCAACAGAUGUUUUCACAUCACCUCAGAGUUGUUAACAGAAAUUGUGAAAUAUUGUUUACAUUCACCACUGCUUCGAAGUGACGGCGCUAAUUACACCCACCGGCGCAGCAUGCUAUUUAAUGUGUUAAUAAAGAGGCCCAUAUAUAACUGUCACUUCAA
Non-coding RNA from Ictidomys tridecemlineatus (thirteen-lined ground squirrel), 5788 nucleotides. NCBI's taxonomy places the organism in Eukaryota, Metazoa, Chordata, Mammalia, Rodentia, Sciuridae. The record is from RefSeq and is a predicted model, not a curated record.